AAGUCCCGUUCGAAUAGGGCGGUACCUUGACGGUACCUAACCAGAAAGCCACGGCUAACUACGUGCCAGCAGCCGCGGUAAUACGUAGGUGGCAAGCGUUGUCCGGAAUUAUUGGGCGUAAAGGGCUCGCAGGCGGUUUCUUAAGUCUGAUGUGAAAGCCCCCGGCUCAACCGGGGAGGGUCAUUGGAAACUGGGGAACUUGAGUGCAGAAGAGGAGAGUGGAAUUCCACGUGUAGCGGUGAAAUGCGUAGAGAUGUGGAGGAACACCAGUGGCGAAGGCGACUCUCUGGUCUGUAACUGACG
This 303-nucleotide ribosomal RNA is filed under the name Bacillus sp. (in: firmicutes). RNAcentral describes it as "bacterial SSU rRNA". It matches the Rfam family "Bacterial small subunit ribosomal RNA", at positions 445 to 745 of the family's 1533-position model. Lineage: Bacteria; Bacillati; Bacillota; Bacilli; Caryophanales; Bacillaceae. The record is from RNAcentral.